AGUGAACGCUGGCGGUAGGCCUAACACAUGCAAGUCGAACGGCAGCACAGUAAGAGCUUGCUCUUACGGGUGGCGAGUGGCGGACGGGUGAGGAAUACAUCGGAAUCUACUUUUUCGUGGGGGAUAACGUAGGGAAACUUACGCUAAUACCGCAUACGACCUACGGGUGAAAGCAGGGGAUCUUCGGACCUUGCGCGAUUGAAUGAGCCGAUGUCGGAUUAGCUAGUUGGCGGGGUAUAGGCCCACCAAGGCGACGAUCCGUAGCUGGUCUGAGAGGAUGAUCGGCGACACUGGAACUGAGACACGGUCCAGACUCCUACGGGAGGCAGCAGUGGGGAAUAUUGGGCAAUGGGCGAAAGCCUGAUCCAGCCAUACCGCGUGGGUGAAGAAGGCCUUCGGGUUGUAAAGCCCUUUUGUUGGGAAAGAAAAGCAGCAGGUUAAUACCCCGCUGUUCUGACGGUACCCAAAGAAUAAGCACCGGCUAACUUCGUG
This 492-nucleotide ribosomal RNA is filed under the name uncultured bacterium. Its description in RNAcentral is "partial 16S ribosomal RNA". It matches the Rfam family "Bacterial small subunit ribosomal RNA", at positions 29 to 507 of the family's 1533-position model. The record is from RNAcentral.